CGCGCCUGCCCGCCCCAGGCAGCGCGGGACCCGGCCAGCAGCCGGCGCAGCGCUCCCCGGCCGCCAAGUAAGUUUGGAGACUGGAUCUGGAUUAAUCAUUAGGGGCUGGAUUCUGCCACCCUUACUCACUGUCAACUAGAACAGUCUCUGUAGUGCAGAACUCUCAUAAAUGUGAAGCAAACCAUCCACCAUUAUGUUUGGCACUAAAAGGU
Non-coding RNA from Chelonoidis abingdonii (Abingdon island giant tortoise), 212 nucleotides. The record is from RefSeq and is a predicted model, not a curated record. Lineage: Eukaryota; Metazoa; Chordata; Testudines; Testudinidae.